RNAcentral lists this unclassified non-coding RNA (200 nucleotides) under Exophiala sp. RNAcentral describes it as "partial internal transcribed spacer 2". Lineage: Eukaryota; Fungi; Ascomycota; Eurotiomycetes; Chaetothyriales; Herpotrichiellaceae. The record is from RNAcentral.
CUAAGUUCAGCGCGUAUUCCUACCUGAUCCGAGGUCAACCUUAGAAGUUUCCUGGUGAGAGGAGAAGACCGGGUCCCGGGCGCCCUUAAGUCCGAUACGUGCUCCGUGAAGAACUCAGUGUACCGGGGGUCCAACGAGGCCGCCGUCAUUGUCUUUGGGAGGGGCAGGAGCCCCCGAGGGGGCCUCCACCAAACCGUCCA